CUUUGGUAAUCUUAUAAAAGAAAAUUUCAGGUUUCUUCUAUUAAAUGCAUAAAGGAAGACAAUUUAUAUAUAUAUUGUACCUUGCAUUCGGUACAGGAGAGAAACCAUUAGUUAGAAAUGUUAAGAAUUCUAAUAUAGUAUGAAAUACAUUCACUGUGAAACUCACACAUUAAUAUAAGCUACAUGUACAUGUAUCGCACAGACACAUACAUGCAUGGUGGAUUCCCCCUUUUAUUUUGUCUUUUAUCUCUCAUCUUUUUUACUGUUAUCCAUCAUUCUCUAUCUUUGUAUUUUAGCAAGUCUUAAGUCUCUAGUCUAAUCCUUGUUUUUUUUUUGUGUGUUUUUUUUCUUCCUUAAUCUGUAUUCUUUAAAAACCCACUCCACAACCUCAUUUGCGGCAUGGUAUUGAACACAAAUGCUUGAUAUUUCGCCAUACAGUUAUAGAUGUUGAAUUCUAUGAUAUUCAUGGUAAUUGUCUGGAUAAUUUUAAUUUGUAAAUGAAACGUGAAGCAUUGUCACAAAUGUAAAAAUAAGUAGAUGUG
RNAcentral lists this long non-coding RNA (542 nucleotides) under Mytilus galloprovincialis (Mediterranean mussel). The record is from RNAcentral. Lineage: Eukaryota; Metazoa; Mollusca; Bivalvia; Mytilida; Mytilidae.